Molecule: ribosomal RNA, 575 nt
Filed under: uncultured rumen bacterium
Lineage: Bacteria
Description: bacterial SSU rRNA
Rfam family: Bacterial small subunit ribosomal RNA
Source: RNAcentral
GGCAGCAGCUAAGAAUAUUCCGCAAUGGGGGAAACCCUGACGGAGCGACGCCGCGUGGAUGAUGAAGGCCGGAAGGUUGUAAAAUCCUUUUAUACGUGAGGAAUAAGUGGAGUGAGAGAAACGCUUCAUGGUGACUGUAGCGUAUGAAUAAGCAACGGCUAAUUACGUGCCAGCAGCCGCGGUAACACGUAAGUUGCGAGCGUUGUUCGGAAUUAUUGGGCGUAAAGGGCAUGUAGGCGGUAAUGCAAGUCUGGUGUGAAAGGCGGGAGCUCAACUCCCGGACUGCGUUGGAAACUGCAUUACUUGAGUGACUGAGGGGCAAUCAGAAUUCCUGGUGUAGGGGUGAAAUCUGUAGAUAUCAGGAAGAAUACCAAUGGCGAAGGCAGGUUGCCAGCAGAUGACUGACGCUGAGGUGCGAAGGUGCGGGGAGCAAACAGGAUUAGAUACCCUGGUAGUCCGCACAGUCAACUAUGUACACUGGAUAUCUGGUCAGAAGACUGGGUGUCGAAGCAAACGCGAUAAGUGUACCGCCUGGGGAGUAUGCCCGCAAGGGUGAAACUCAAAGGAAUUGACGG